Molecule: ribosomal RNA, 601 nt
Filed under: Brucella anthropi
Lineage: Bacteria; Pseudomonadati; Pseudomonadota; Alphaproteobacteria; Hyphomicrobiales; Brucellaceae
Description: bacterial SSU rRNA
Rfam family: Bacterial small subunit ribosomal RNA
Source: RNAcentral
GUACCUUUUGCUACGGAAUAACUCAGGGAAACUUGUGCUAAUACCGUAUGUGCCCUUCGGGGGAAAGAUUUAUCGGCAAAGGAUCGGCCCGCGUUGGAUUAGCUAGUUGGUGAGGUAAAGGCUCACCAAGGCGACGAUCCAUAGCUGGUCUGAGAGGAUGAUCAGCCACACUGGGACUGAGACACGGCCCAGACUCCUACGGGAGGCAGCAGUGGGGAAUAUUGGACAAUGGGCGCAAGCCUGAUCCAGCCAUGCCGCGUGAGUGAUGAAGGCCCUAGGGUUGUAAAGCUCUUUCACCGGUGAAGAUAAUGACGGUAACCGGAGAAGAAGCCCCGGCUAACUUCGUGCCAGCAGCCGCGGUAAUACGAAGGGGGCUAGCGUUGUUCGGAUUUACUGGGCGUAAAGCGCACGUAGGCGGACUUUUAAGUCAGGGGUGAAAUCCCGGGGCUCAACCCCGGAACUGCCUUUGAUACUGGAAGUCUUGAGUAUGGUAGAGGUGAGUGGAAUUCCGAGUGUAGAGGUGAAAUUCGUAGAUAUUCGGAGGAACACCAGUGGCGAAGGCGGCUCACUGGACCAUUACUGACGCUGAGGUGCGAAAGCG